UACGUAGGGUGCGAGCGUUAAUCGGAAUUACUGGGCGUAAAGCGUGCGCAGGCGGUAAGUUAAGUCUGAUGUGAAAGCCCCGGGCUCAACCUGGGAAUGGCAUUGGAAACUGGCUUGCUAGAGUGUGGCAGAGGGGGGUGGAAUUCCGCGUGUAGCAGUGAAAUGCGUAGAGAUCGGGAGGAACAUCUGUGGCGAAGGCGACUGCCUGGACCAGCACUGACACUGAGGCACGAAAGCGUGGGGAGCAAACAGG
RNAcentral lists this ribosomal RNA (253 nucleotides) under uncultured bacterium. RNAcentral describes it as "partial 16S ribosomal RNA". It matches the Rfam family "Bacterial small subunit ribosomal RNA", at positions 524 to 776 of the family's 1533-position model. The record is from RNAcentral.